Molecule: ribosomal RNA, 253 nt
Filed under: uncultured bacterium
Lineage: Bacteria
Description: partial 16S ribosomal RNA
Rfam family: Bacterial small subunit ribosomal RNA
Source: RNAcentral
GACGGAGGAUGCAAGCGUUAUCCGGAAUGAUUGGGCGUAAAGCGUCCGCAGGUGGCAGUUCAAGUCUGCUGUCAAAGACCGGGGCUUAACUUCGUACAGGCAGUGGAAACUGGGUGACUGGAGUAUGGUAGGGGUAGCGGGAAUUCCCAGUGUAGCGGUGAAAUGCGUAGAUAUUGGGAAGAACACCAGCGGCGAAAGCGCGCUACUGGGCCAUUACUGACACUCAUGGACGAAAGCUAGGGGAGCGAAAGGG